Molecule: ribosomal RNA, 253 nt
Filed under: uncultured bacterium
Lineage: Bacteria
Description: partial 16S ribosomal RNA
Rfam family: Bacterial small subunit ribosomal RNA
Source: RNAcentral
GACAGAGGAUGCAAACGUUGCUCGGAAUUACUGGGCGUAAAGCGCGCGCAGGUGGUCUGGUAAGUCGGGUGUGAAAUCCCGGGGCUCAACCUCGGAAGUGCACACGAUACUGCCGGACUCGAGUACUGGAGAGGAGAGCGGAAUUCCCGGUGUAGAGGUGAAAUUCGUAGAUAUCGGGAGGAACACCAGUGGCGAAGGCGGCUCUCUGGACAGAUACUGACACUGAGGCGCGAAAGCGUGGGAAGCAAACAGG